CUCCCUCCCUGCCCGCUAACACCAGGCUUCUACCAGAGACCCGUCUCCCUAAGACCAGGGCAGAGAGCCGUAUGCCAGAUGGCACUGGACAUUUGUCCUCCAGGGCAUUCCUUGCAUCUCCCCUUCCGUGUCAUCUCUUGCAAAGUUUGGAACUUGGUGUUGAAUCAAGUGGGGACCCAGCUAUGGUUGUUUCCACGUCUGGUAUGUGCAGCCCAGAGAUGUUCAGAUGGGAUCAGAGACAAGAGACCUUCCAGCACUAACCGGGAAAAGCUGCUCAAAGUGUUACUCGGCUGUAAGCAAAGCCACAGGACUCAAGUGAUGCUGACCUGGAGGGUGGUACAGCGAUGAACACAGAGGAGCUAUGGCUCAGUGCUGCAAUUGCCCAGCUGAGUCAACAGAGAGAGGAUCCAGUCAGCAGCUGGUGAGUGCUUCCAGCCUCCAGGCCAUGCAGCUGGACCGGGCAGUCUUAGAAUGCAUCGUCCCCUUUUGCCAGUAGGAUCGGCGAGAUACCACCAUUACCUCCCCUAGGAGCCUGCAGCCAUAUCAAGGUCCUGCUAUCAGCUGGUCAGCCUCAACUCAGUCCCUGCGAAGACUGGACACCAUAUCCCCCUGGAAGCUAUUUCCAAGCACAUGAAGGACUAGAAAGUGACUGUGAGCAGCCAGCAGGGAUUUACCAAGGGCCAGUUGUGCCUGACCAACCUGAUUACCUUCUACAAGGAGACAACAGCCUGUGUGAACAACAGGAGGGCACUGGAUGUUGUAUUGAUUGAUUGUAGCAUUGACUUUAUCAAGGCCUUUGACAAGGUCUCCCACAGUCUACUUGUAGGCAAGUUGCGAGAUUUGGACUGGAUAAGUGGAGUGUGAAUUGAAUGGAAAACUGACUGGAUGGUUGGGCUGACGGGGUCAUAUCAACAAUAUGAAGUUCAACUGGUAACUAGUUACUAGGGGCAUCCUUCAGGGAUGCACACUGAUAGGUCGAUAGUGUUUAAUGUCUUUAUUAAUGGCCUGGACAAUGAGCUGUCUUGCACUCUCAGCAAGCUUGCAGACAAUACCAAAUUGGGGAGAACUAUUGCUAUGGUGUAGGGCAGGGCUGCUACUCAGAUGGACCUUGGCAGGCAAGGGAAAAGGGCCUCCCUCUCAGUAACAGAUGCUGGCAACACAACUGCUGUGAAAAUGUGACUGUUGCCACCAGAAGCUGGAGGUAGUGUGUAUGUGAAUGUGGCUUAGAGGAACUCUGGCUGAGAGGGCUCUUAACUUCAUUACCUACUAAUCUACAUUUCCUCCUUCUGUUUCACUGGUGAUGAAAUCUAAAUGCAAAAUCUGUUAUUGACAAGUAGUGUAUGGACUAUGUGUCUGGUCAUUGGCAUUUUCAACAGAAGCUUCUUGGCUGCAUUGAAACAGAAUUCAGGAAAGUUAAAUGAAUUUUGCUGAAGCCAUUGGGAAAUCCUUACCUCUGAGUGACAAGAGCUACUGAGCGCCUGUAGCUGGAUUGUCGUAAUGGAAAUUGCAUGGGAGCCAUAACUGCAGCCAUCCCUCCUGACAUUCCUUCAAGGGCUCUCAAGGUUUACUGCAGAGGGAGUAGUCUUACACAUACAACAGUUGUUCCUCUGUACCCCACUCACAAGGAACCAUCUUUGGAUUGGUAAGCAUGGCAGUAUUGCUUCAACCAACACAAUUUCCAUGACCAUCUUCCCUUCACAUUGCAAGAUUCAGGCUUGUCCUGGGAUGACUGAUCAGCCUCCACUUCCGUUGUCUUGCCAGCCUUCAGUCAUGGUGACUCCUCAUUGCUGACACUCUUCCACUUCACCAGUUGAAGGAAUAACCUGCACUGAAAUUUAAUUGCAGGGUGCUGCAGUGAACACACAUGCUUUGACUUUUAUUUAGCUAUUUCUUCUGUUUCCAGUAAAUUCCACAUGAUCAUUGAAAUAACUAUCUGCUGGGACAACCACAAUAUGUACUUCUGUACAAAUAAAAACAUGUGUUUUAACUUACCUGUGUGCUUAAUAUUGCAAGAGCUUCACCGGAGAGGCACUUAGAAAUCAUGCAGCCCUCAUGUACCUUCUGUGAAACGCAUUUGUGUACUUUUGACUGUGAUCCACAGAGCAUUAAUGACAUGGUAAAUAUGGACAUUGAUCUCUGUGACAUGAUAGCCUCCCCCGUUCAACUCAGAGGCUGUGGGGUGUUAUUUAUCUUUUAGUUAUGAUCCUUAGCUAGUGUUUUCCUCUGAUGGUUCCAUAUCAAUGUUUUGUCCAAUAUGAGUUCCUGAAGCACUAUAUCAAAUAUUUACCAGCAUUAAGAAUCGUGUAAUAUUAGACCAUGUGCCUUUUUUAAUUAGCCUAUAGUCUAAUCAAAGAAA
Aquila chrysaetos chrysaetos is the source of this 2356-nucleotide long non-coding RNA. RefSeq lists it as uncharacterized. The transcript has 3 exons. The record is from RefSeq and is a predicted model, not a curated record. Lineage: Eukaryota; Metazoa; Chordata; Aves; Accipitriformes; Accipitridae.